CAUCAAAGACCACAUAUGGCUUCUUAGAUCCACAUUUCAUUCAACCAAUUUCGAAUUCUAUAGAUGAACGGACAGGUGAUCAUUGGAUGUUGAUGGCAAUUUGUCCUCAACUUAAUGAAAUCUAUUGGUUUGAUUCAAUUGGAGGCCAGCCACGUGAUGACAUCAAAGAUAUUGUUGAAAAGUGUGUCAAUUCAGCAAAGUUGUUGAGAAGCAAUGGAUCAACU
Molecule: long non-coding RNA, 224 nt
Organism: Ipomoea nil (Japanese morning glory)
Lineage: Eukaryota; Viridiplantae; Streptophyta; Magnoliopsida; Solanales; Convolvulaceae
Exons: 3
Source: RefSeq, a predicted model, not a curated record